GAUGAACGCUGGCGGCGUGCCUAAUACAUGCAAGUCGAACGAACGGACGCGAAGCUUGCUUCUUUGUUGUUAGCGGCGCACGUGUGUGUCACACGUGGAUCAUCUACCUAUAAGACUGGGAUAACCUCGGGAAACCGGCGCUUAUACGGGAUAAUCUUUUGCUCCGCAUGGUUCAAUGGUAAAAUUCGGCCUUGCUGUCUCUUCUAGCUGCUUCCGCGCUGCAUUAGCUAGUUGGUACGGUCACGGCCUAUCACGGCAACGAUGCCUAGCCGACCGGAGAGAGUGGUCGGCCACACUGGAACUGAGACACGGUCCAGACUCCUACGGGAGGCAGCAGUAGGGAAUCGGCCGCAAAAGGCGAAAACCUGACGGAGCAAGGCCACGUGAGUGAUGGAGGUCUUCGGAUCGGAAAACUCGGUUAUUAGUGAAGAACAUAUGUGUAAGGAACUGUGCACAGCGUGACGGUACCUAGUCAGAAAGCCACGGCUAACUACGUG
This 497-nucleotide ribosomal RNA is filed under the name uncultured bacterium. RNAcentral's name for it is "partial 16S ribosomal RNA". It matches the Rfam family "Bacterial small subunit ribosomal RNA", at positions 28 to 507 of the family's 1533-position model. The record is from RNAcentral.